GUGAGGAAUUUUCCGCAAUGGGCGAAAGCCUGACGGAGCAAUGCCGCGUGAAGGAUGAAGGCCUAUGGGUUGUAAACUUCUUUUCUCAGAAAAGAAUUAUGACGGUAUCUGAGGAAUAAGCAUCGGCUAACUCUGUGCCAGCAGCCGCGGUAAGACAGAGGAUGCAAGCGUUAUCCGGAAUGAUUGGGCGUAAAGCGUCUGUAGGUUGUUUAAAAAGUAUUCUGUCAAAGAUUAGGGCUUAACCCUAGAUAGGCAGAAUAAACUUUUAAGCUAGAGUUUGGUAGAGGCAGAGGGAAUUCCCGGUGGAGCGGUGAAAUGCGUAGAUAUCGGGAGGAGCACCAAAGGCGAAGGCACUCUGCUGGGCCAAUACUAACACUGAGAGACGAAAGCGAGGGGAGCAAAUGGGAUUAGAUACCCGUGUAGUCC
Molecule: ribosomal RNA, 426 nt
Filed under: uncultured bacterium
Lineage: Bacteria
Description: bacterial SSU rRNA
Rfam family: Bacterial small subunit ribosomal RNA
Source: RNAcentral